Molecule: ribosomal RNA, 460 nt
Filed under: uncultured bacterium
Lineage: Bacteria
Description: partial 16S ribosomal RNA
Rfam family: Bacterial small subunit ribosomal RNA
Source: RNAcentral
CCUACGGGAGGCAGCAGUGAGGAAUAUUGGUCAAUGGCCGGAAGGCUGAACCAGCCAUGCCGCGUGAAGGUCAGUGCCCUAUGGGCGUUAAACUUCUUUUGUGCGGGAGCAAUAAUGGUCACGUGUGGCCAGACGAGAGUACCGUACGAAUAAGCAUCGGCUAACUCCGUGCCAGCAGCCGCGGUAAUACGGGGGAUGCAAGCGUUAUCCGGAUUUAUUGGGUUUAAAGGGUGCGUAGGCUGGGAGGUAAGUCAGCGGUGAAAUGCCCCCGCUCAACGGGGUGAAGUGCCAUUGAUACUGCCUGGCUGGAAUGCGGAUGCGGUGGGAGGAAUGUGUGGUGUAGCGGUGAAAUGCAUAGAUAUCACACAGAACACCGAUUGCGAAGGCAUCUCACGAAUCCGCGAUUGACGCGGAUGCACGAAAGCGUGGGUAUCAAACAGGAUUAGAUACCCCAGUAGUC